ACUCCUACGGGAGGCAGCAGUGGGGAAUAUUGCACAAUGGGCGCAAGCCUGAUGCAGCCAUGCCGCGUGUGUGAAGAAGGCCUUCGGGUUGUAAAGCACUUUCUAGUUGUGAGGAAGGUGGUGUCGUUAAUAGCGGCAUCAUUUGACGUUAGCAACAGAAGAAGCACCGGCUAACUCCGUGCCAGCAGCCGCGGUAAUACGGAGGGUGCGAGCGUUAAUCGGAAUUACUGGGCGUAAAGCGCAUGCAGGUGGUUGUUAAGUCAGAUGUGAAAGCCCGGGGCUCAACCUCGGAACUGCAUUUGAAACUGGCAGACUAGAGUACUGUAGAGGGGGUAGAAUUUCAGGUGUAGCGGUGAAAUGCGUAGAGAUCUGAAGGAAUACCGGUGGCGAAGGCGGCCCCUGGACAGAUACUGACACUCAGAUGCGAAAGCGUGGGAGC
This 439-nucleotide ribosomal RNA is filed under the name uncultured bacterium. Its description in RNAcentral is "bacterial SSU rRNA". It matches the Rfam family "Bacterial small subunit ribosomal RNA", at positions 335 to 769 of the family's 1533-position model. The record is from RNAcentral.